AUUCUUGCAGGAUCAUUGUAGGAAGGCAUAAGAGUCCUGCUUACUGGUGAGCCACUGAACACAAACUCCCUUCUCACCUCUGCCUUGGAUCCCGCCAUGCCUGAGGUCUAGGGCUAGAAGCGUUGUUUCAUCCACAUUAAUUCCGGUCUUGGGCAACGUGGCUAUUUUCUGACCUGUCUGUCUUCCCACCCUAGUGGUGAAUUCUCUUUCUGGGAUCUCAACUCCUUCUCCUGUCACCCAGCUUUUUCCGAGCAACCCCAGUCCAUCUGGCAUAUCAUUAGAAUGUUAAACCUAAAACGGUAAGCCAUUCUGUGAAUACCUUUAAGUAACAGGAUAUUAAAAUGAGACUUUUCCUGUUUUCUCAGUGCUAGCUGACAUCUUUGAGCUGAGAAAAAAAAAUAUUGUUAAAAAUGCUCAUCUAUUCUCAGGAGAUGUCAUCUGCUAAGGAGUGACCAAAAAAAUGGUCCAAUAACCCUGAAACCAUCGCUCAAAUCUUAGCUACGCAAGGGGAGACUUGUAAAUUAAUGAGGACGGCAAGGAUUUCAUGAGACAGAGCUUUCAGGCUGCUAAAAUGCUUCCUCCUCCCUUCUCAUGUGUUUUCCCCUCAUCUUACGCAAAUAAGAGGGGGCCUUCAGAGAAUUACUUGGAGAGCUGACCUAGGACCCCUAGGCUUUGGGGAACAUAGAAUGUAUUAGUGUCUAUUGCUGCUGAAACAAAUUAGCACACAUUUAACAGCUUAAAAAUAGCAAAAUUACUACCUCACAGUUCUGUAGGUUAGAAGUCCAGUGGGCGCGGCUGGUGUGUGGGCUUCAAGCCUCACAGGGCUGAAAUCAAGGUGUUGGCCAGGCUGUACUCCCUCCUAGAGGCUCUAAUGAAGCAUCUGUUUCCAGGCCUCUGCGCCUUGUUGGCGGAAUUCAGUUCAAUUUGCCUGAUGGACUGAGGUCCCUGCUUCCCUGCGGGCUGUCGGCGGGAACUGCCACUGGCUCCUUGCAGCCUCUCUCUGAUUCUUGCACAAGGGCACCUACAUCUCAGAGCCAGCGAGAGUGUGAGUGUGUGGAAUCCUUCUCACGAGGCCUCAUCUCUCUGACUUUCGUCGGGAAAUGUUCUCUGCUUUUAAAGGAUCAUGUAAUUAUUUUGAGCCUACCCGAUAAUCCAGGAUAAUCCCCUCAUCUAAAAAUCUGUUACCUUAACCACAUCUGCAAAGUCCCUGUUGCCGUGUAAUGUAAGCUAUUCACAGGUUCUGGGGAUUAGGAAAAGGACAUCUUUGGUGGGGGCCUUAUUCAGCCUACCACAUAGAGAUUAGUACCUGAAAAGCCAGCAGGUGAGAAGCUAGACAGAGCAGCCGGUGGCAGCUAAAGGAGAAAGGGGGCGAGAGCUGGAGAAGUCGCACUUCCGCCGAUGGCGCAGCAAAGGGGAUGUUGCCCUGGAGGACUCAGGGAACGGAACUGGGCUAUCAGCCGAGAAUGGGGCUCCACUCAAAAGGAGGAACCAACAGGAGACACAAGGAACCCCAGCAGGAAGAAGUCGGAGAUGGAGGAGGGGAAGUCAUAGCUGGAGGAGACGUGUGUUAGGAAGCUACAAUGGCAGCUCCCUAGUGGAGGUGUUUCGGAAAAACUCCGAAGAUUCCACUUGAGAAAAUCAUCGGCCUUCAGACAACGUCUAUGCCAGAUAAUGCUACCAAAUCACAACCUUGCCUUUCCUCCCUACUGCUGUUCUGAUGUGGGAGGACCCAAAGGCAGCAGAAGAGCCAAAGAAGAGUAGCAGAAAGGCAUAUCCACAGCUCUUCAAAUAAGCAAUGUGAUGUUAGCAAAAGUGCAGGGGCUCCUUGAGAACUUUCCAGGGCUAACCAGCUGCUGAGGAGUGGCCUCCAGGAAAGAGAGAAGCACUCUGAUUCAGGCAGUGAUUUACACCUAAAAUACCAACUCCAUCAUAUCUUCAGAACAAUUCUUCUAGACCUUGCAUCUAAAUAUGGAGUCAUUAACUAACAACGAACAAAACCUCUGGAUGGCCGAAGGACCUAGGCUAUACAGAAAGCUGUGAAUUACCAAUGAGAACGCAGAUUAGAUCAAAGAUGUCCCUAAGAAGCGUUGAGAUGUCACAAAGUUCUAG
This 2109-nucleotide long non-coding RNA is filed under the name Homo sapiens (human). RNAcentral describes it as "HSALNT0373399". The record is from RNAcentral. Lineage: Eukaryota; Metazoa; Chordata; Mammalia; Primates; Hominidae.